ACGCUUUGGGAGCGGCCCGCGUCCGAUUAGAUAGUUGGUGAGGUAAAGGCUCACCAAGUCUACGAUCGGUAACUGGUCUGAGAGGAUGAUCAGUCAGACUGGAACUGAGACACGGUCCAGACUCCUACGGGAGGCAGCAGUAAGGAAUCUUCCACAAUGGACGAAAGUCUGAUGGAGCAACUCCGCGUGCAGGAUGAAGGCCCUCGGGUCGUAAACUGCUUUUAUGAGUGAAGAAUAUGACGGUAACUCAUGAAUAAGGGUCGGCUAACUACGUGCCAGCAGCCGCGGUCAUACGUAGGACCCAAGCGUUAUCCGGAGUGACUGGGCGUAAAGAGUUGCGUAGGUGGUUAGUAAAGUGAAUAGUGAAACCUGGUGGCUCAACCAUACAGACUAUUAUUCAAACUCACUAACUCGAGAAUGGUAGAGGUAACUGGAAUUUCUAGUGUAGGAGUGAAAUCCGUAGAUAUUAGAAGGAACACCAAUGGCGUAGGCAGGUUACUGGACCAUUUCUGACACUGAGGCACGAAAGCGUGGGGAGCGAACCGGAUUAGAUACCCGGGUAGUCCACGCCGUAAACGAUGGAUACUAGCUGUUGGAGGUAUCGACCCCUUCAGUUGCGAAGCUAACGCGUUAAGUAUCCCGCCUGUGGAGUACGGUCGCAAGACUAAAACAUAAAGGAAUUGACGGGGAGCCGCACAAGCGGUGGAUUAUGUUCUUUAAUUCGAUGAUAACCGAUGAACCUUACCAGGGUUUGACAUCCUUGGAAUUUUGCCGAAAGGCGAGAGUGCUUUAUUGAGCCAAGUGACAGAUGAUGCAUGGCCGUCGUCAGCUCGUGUCGUGAGAUGUUUUGGUUAAGUCCAUUAACGAGCGCAACCCUUGUGAUUAGUUGUAUUUUUCUAAUCAGACUGCCCUGGCAACGGGGAGGAAGGAGGGGAUGAGGUCAGGUCAGUAUUUCUCUUACACCCUGGGCUAGAAACAUAAUACAAUGGCCAGUACAAUGCGCAGCGAAGCCGCGAGGUGGAGCAAAUCGCAUCAAAGCUGGUCCCAGUUCGGAUUGGAGGCUGAAACUCGCCUCCAUGAAGUUGGAAUCGCUAGUAAUCGCAGAUCAGCAAGCUGCGGUGAAUACGUUCCCGGCUCUUGUACACACCGCCCGUCAAACCAUGAAAGUCACCAACACCCGAAGUCCGAUUCGUCGGCCUAAGGUGGGGGGGAUGGUUGGGGUUAAGUCGUAACAAGGUAUCCGUACCGGGGGGUGCGGAUG
This 1261-nucleotide ribosomal RNA is filed under the name metagenome. RNAcentral describes it as "bacterial SSU rRNA". It matches the Rfam family "Bacterial small subunit ribosomal RNA", at positions 215 to 1520 of the family's 1533-position model. The record is from RNAcentral.